AUUGAACGCUGGCGGCAUGCCUUACACAUGCGAGUCGAACGGUAACGGGCCUUCGGGUGCCGACGAGUGGCGAACGGGUGAGUAAUACAUCGGAACGUGCCCGAUCGUGGGGGAUAACGAGGCGAAAGCUUUGCUAAUACCGCAUACGAUCUACGGAUGAAAGCAGGGGACCGCAAGGCCUUGCGCGGACGGAGCGGCCGAUGGCAGAUUAGGUAGUUGGUGGGAUAAAAGCUUACCAAGCCGACGAUCUGUAGCUGGUCUGAGAGGAUGAUCAGCCACACUGGGACUGAGACACGGCCCAGACUCCUACGGGAGGCAGCAGUGGGGAAUUUUGGACAAAGGGCGCAAGCCUGAUCCAGCCAUGCCGCGUGCAGGAUGAAGGCCUUCGGGUUGUAAACUGCUUUUGUACGGAACGAAAAGCCUUCUUUUAAUACAGGAGGGUCAUGACGGUACCGUAAGAAUAAGCACCGGCUAACUACGUG
RNAcentral lists this ribosomal RNA (482 nucleotides) under uncultured bacterium. RNAcentral's name for it is "partial 16S ribosomal RNA". It matches the Rfam family "Bacterial small subunit ribosomal RNA", at positions 30 to 507 of the family's 1533-position model. The record is from RNAcentral.